Scophthalmus maximus (turbot) is the source of this 1815-nucleotide long non-coding RNA. The record is from Ensembl. NCBI's taxonomy places the organism in Eukaryota, Metazoa, Chordata, Actinopteri, Pleuronectiformes, Scophthalmidae.
AUGAGCUGCACUCGUCCACACGCGUCGACUGCAGAGACAACGUCACUUGAAUUCCAGAUCCCGAGUCAGAAGGACGAGUCUGUUCCGUCAGUCGAGGUGAAGAGAGAUAAUGAUGCUCUUUGCUUCAUUAUCUCUCACACGGUUGGAUGCUCCCUGCUCACCCCCCUCCACCUCCCCCUCCCCCUCCACCUCCUCCUCCCCCUCCCCCUCCUCCUCCCCCCUCCCCCUCCACCUCCUCCUCCACCCUCCUCCUCCUCCAUCCACCCUCCUCCUCCUCCUCCCCCUCCUCCUCCUCCUCCCCCUCCAUCCUCCUCCUCCUCCCCCUCCACCUCCUCCUCCCCCCCCUCCACCUCCUCCUCCCCCCUCCACCUCCACCCCCUCCACCUCCUCCUCCACCCUCCCCCCUCCACCUCCUCCUCCCCCUCCACCCUUCCUCCACCCUCCCCCUCCCCCUCCUCCUCCUCCCCCUCCACCCUCCUCCUCCUCCCCCUCCAUCCAUCCACCUCCCCCUCCUCCUCCCCCUCCACCUCCUCCUCCCCCCUACCUCCACCCUCCACCUCCCCCUCCAUUACCCCCUCCUCCUCCACCUCCCCCUCCUCCUCCUCCUCCCCCCUACCUCCCCUCCUCCUCCCCCUCCACCUCCACCCUCCACCCCCCCCCCUCCACCUCCUUCCACCCUCCCCCUCCACCUCCUCCUCCCCCCCCUCCACCCUCCUCCUCCAUCCCCCUCCUCCUCCUUCCCCCUCCACCUCCUCCUCCUCCUCCCCCUCCACCUCCUCCACCUCCUCCUCCCCCCCCUCCCCCCACCUCCACCCCCCCUCCACCUCCCCCUCCACCUCCUCCUCCCCCUCCACCCCCCUACCUCCUCCUCCACCCUUCCACCCUCCUCCUCCACCCUCCUCCUCCUCCCCCCUCCACCCUCCUCCUCCUCCUCCUCCUCCACCUCCUCCACCUCCCCUCCUCCUCCCCCUCCACCUCCUCCUCCCCCCCCUCCACCCUCCACCUCCUCCUCCCCCCUCCACCCCCCUACCUUCCUCCCCCUCCUCCUCCACCUCCCCCCUCCUCCUCCUCCCCCUCCACCCUCCUCCUCCUCCCCCUCCACCUCCUCCUCCUCCUCCCCCUCCACCUCCACCCCCCUCCAUCCCCCUUCCUCCCCCUCCACCUCCUCCUCCUCCCCCCUCCACCACCUCCACCUCCAGCUCCACCCUCCUCCACCUCCUCCCCCCCCCCUCCCCCCUCCUCCUCCACCUCCCCCCUCCACCUCCUCCUCCCCCCUCCACCCUCCCCCUCCACCACCUCCUCCACCUCCCCUCCACCUCCAGCUCCACCCUCCCCCUCCACCUCCUCCUCCUCCCCCCUCCCCCUCCUCCUCCACCUCCUCCACCUCCCCCUCCACCCUCCCCCCAGCUCCACCCUCCCCCUCCUCCUCCCACCUCCACCCCCUCCCCCUCCCUCCAGCUCCACCUCCCCUCCACCUCCUCCUCCACCUCCACCCUCCCCCUCCCCCUCCCUCCAGCUCCCCCCUCCACCUCCCCCCUCCACCCUCCACCUCCAGCUCCACCCUUCCACCUCCUCCCCCCCUCCACCUCCAGCUCCACCCUCCCCUCCUCCUCCACCCUCCCCCCUCCCUCCAGCUCCCCCUCCACCUCCAGCUCCACCCUCCCCCUCCACCUCCUCCUCCCCCUCCCCUCCACCCCCUCCCUCCAGCUCCCCCUCCACCUCCAGCUCCCCCCUCCAGACACAUUCUCUCAACCAAAGCCUGAGCACUUGAAUUUUCAUCUCUUUUUUUUAGGUAAAACAGUGUCAUUUGAUUGA